CCUACGGGAGGCAGCAGUGAGGAAUAUUGGUCAAUGGACGCAAGUCUGAACCAGCUAUGCCGCGUGCAGGAAGACGGCCCUAUGAGUUGUAAACUGCUUUUGUACGAGGGUAAACGCAGAUACGCGUAUCUGUCUGAACGUAUCGUACGAAUAAGGAACGGCUAACUCCGUGCCAGCAGCCGCGGUAAUACGGAGGAUUCAAGCGUUAUCCGGAUUUAUUGGGUUUAAAGGGUGCGUAGGCGGUCGGAUAAGUUAGAGGUGAAAUCCCGGGGCUCAACUUCGGAAUUGCCUCUGAUACUGUUCGGCUAGAGAGUAGUUGCGGUAGGCGGAAUGUAUGGUGUAGCAGUGAAAUGCUUAGAUAUCAUACAGAACACCGAUUGCGAAGGCAGCUUACCAAGCUACUUCUGACGUUGAGGCACGAAAGCGUGGGGAGCAAACAGGAUUAGAUACCCCAGUAGUC
Molecule: ribosomal RNA, 460 nt
Filed under: uncultured bacterium
Lineage: Bacteria
Description: partial 16S ribosomal RNA
Rfam family: Bacterial small subunit ribosomal RNA
Source: RNAcentral